RNAcentral lists this ribosomal RNA (466 nucleotides) under uncultured bacterium. RNAcentral describes it as "bacterial SSU rRNA". It matches the Rfam family "Bacterial small subunit ribosomal RNA", at positions 338 to 795 of the family's 1533-position model. The record is from RNAcentral.
CCUACGGGGGGCAGCAGUGGGGAAUAUUGCACAAUGGGCGCAAGCCCGAUGCAGCCAUGCCGCGUGUAUGAAGAAGGCCUUCGGGUUGUAAAGUACUUUCAGCGGGGAGGAAGGUGUUGUGGUUAAUAACCACAGCGAUUGACGAUACCCGCAGAAGAAGCACCGGCUAACUCCGUGCCAGCAGCCGCGGUAAUACGGAGGGUGCAAGCGUUAAUCGGAAUUACUGGGCGUAAAGCGCACGCAGGCGGUCUGUCAAGUCGGAUGUGAAAUCCCCGGGCUCAACCUGGGAACUGCAUUCGAAACUGGCAGGCUAGAGUCUUGUAGAGGGGGGUAGAAUUCCAGGUGUAGCGGUGAAAUGCGUAGAGAUCUGGAGGAAUACCGGUGGCGAAGGCGGCCCCCUGGACAAAGACUGACGCUCAGGUGCGAAAGCGUGGGGAGCAAACAGGAUUAGGAUACCCUCGUAGUC